This 374-nucleotide ribosomal RNA is filed under the name uncultured bacterium. Its description in RNAcentral is "bacterial SSU rRNA". It matches the Rfam family "Bacterial small subunit ribosomal RNA", at positions 86 to 458 of the family's 1533-position model. The record is from RNAcentral.
AGAUGGCGCAAGGCGCACGGGUGCGUAACACGUGGGUAAUCUGCCCUUCGAAGGGGAAUAACUCGCCGAAAGGCGAGCUAAUUCCGCAUAACAUUCCGAGAACCUUGGUUUUUGGAUUCAAAGGCGUAAGUCGUCGGAGGAGGAGCCCGCGCACGAUUAGCUAGUUGGUAGGGUAACGGCCUACCAAGGCUAUGAUCGUUAGCUGGUCUGAGAGGAUGGCCACCCACACUGGAACUGAGACACGGUCCAGACUCCUACGGGAGGCAGCAGUGGGGAAUCUUGCACAAUGGGCGAAAGCCUGAUGCAGCGACGCCGCGUGGGGGAUGAAGCUUCUCGGAGUGUAAACCCCUUUCGACCCGGACGAAUGCCCCGCA